CUCGAUUUUGAAAUUUAAAAAUUAAAAUGAACUAAAAACAACGCCCUCUGGAAUCUAUAACGUAAGUUGGAUCUGGAUCAGAAGCAUUGAGGCAAUCUUGAUCGACGUUUAUUGCCGCAAUCGGAGUCAUCGCCGAUGGCGGAGCCACCUGUGAAGUCGCGGAGCUCUUCUUCCUCGAGCUCUAGUGAAGUUUCUAUUAAGCUUGAGCGCGAAAUUGGCGGUGGAAGUAGCAGUGAAGGUAAAGAAGUGUACAACAGAGAGACGAGUACCAGUGUGAGUGCCGUAAAUAAUGGAAAUGCUGAGUCCUCCGGUUAGUUGAUUUUUUUUUCCUUUUUUUUUCUGCAUACUUACUUAAAUUAUUAUUCGCAAGCAAAUCCUGAACUUCCAAGGAUAAGAUUGAGCCUAUAAGGGGAGCGUAUUGAGAGUUUCUUACGUAUUUUAUAUGUAGGUUUUCAUAUUAUUAUGUUCUUAUUGUUUGUUUUUGUAGGAGAUUCUAUCAGAGAUAGACCUAGUGUUCCUAGUAUUCCCAGGACCAACAGUUAUCCGGUGGAGGUGUUGAGCACCAAAAAGUUGGAACCACAAACUUCAGGUGAGCUGAGGUUGGAAAGGGCAAAAACUGAGACUCAUAGACCGCGUGCUAUACUUGCAAAACAUGCAGCACAAAUUUUUGACAACAAGAUUCCUGUCCAGCAGAAGGUAUGACUUAUUACAAAUAUUUGUUGAGAUCAGCCUCGAAUGUCUGUGAAGCAUUUUGUUCACACAUUGUGGCUACGGUUUUGCUAGCAUAGUCAGGAAUCCUUAUUACCCCAUAGAAUACUUGGUUAGCAUACUGAACAUUGUCAAAUUUUCCCUUUUAUAAGCACUAUUUGAAUUCUAUUACUACUUCUGUAGAAUGAUAAAAUUUGCUAGUUUUUCACUGCUAUGAGAAAUUCAUAUUGCUUUGAAGCGGACGAUCACCUUUGGAAGCAGCUGACUGGGGCAGUGGUUUUGAGUUUGCUUGCUCUUCCCGUGCACUCUAAGAAACAAACUGGAUUACCAGGUGGAAGGCACAGCCCACGUGAUUCAAUUAGAACAGGGAGCAAUCAUUUUUUUUUUUUUAAUCUUCGUGACCUAAACUCAAACUAAAGCAGCUGCCUCUAGCUAUUAAUUGAAUACCAUAAGCUCACAAGCCAGAAACAAUGGUCUUCUUUCCAUCAGUCUUAGGCCGGUCCCUUUUUAGAGUUCGAAGAGAAAGAAAGAAGGAGUGCGGGCGCCCUUAUUUUUUUUCAUGCGGACACGUUUUUAAGCCGUGCGGUUUUAUAGAGUCAGAUUUUAAUGCUAUUAAACUGUAUGGUUUUAUAGUGAAAUUAAAAAUAACUCUUUUAAGCUGCAUGUUUAACAGCAUGUCUGCAUUAAAAAAAAUGAGGGCAUCCACACCUGAGAAUGAAUAUAUAUAUAUAUAUAUAUAUAGAGAGAGAGAGAGAGAGAGAGAGAGAGAGAGAGAGCAGACUAAAGAAAGCAGAUGUGACCACUGCGCUUUACCAAUCUAUUAGUUAGGGAAAUGGAGCACCUUAACAUUGAGGAAAACUUGAACCUGUCUGCUAGGAGCCUCUUUCCAUUUUAUAAGCGCUGUUCGAAUUCUAUGACUAUUUCCGUAGAAUGAUUUAAUUUGCUAGUUUUUCACAAUUCUUUAGUGCAAUACGGUGAAUCAUAUUGAACAUUUUGUGUGGGACAACUUUGUAUGAUUGGAACUUGUUGGAAGAUUACAAUAACCUGCCCUUGUAGAGUUUAUUCGAUACUUAAAUCUCUGUAUAGACAAGUUCAUUUGAGGGCUGAUUUUCUGUAAUUUCUCUUGUGAGAUGUUUGCCUAAAAUAUCACAUUGGGGGUGUAGUGACAUGCCUUUAGGUAAUGUACUGCUAGAAACAUUUUACAAUUGCUAUUUGUUCCUUGGUCAUUUGAAAUGAUGGUCAUGUGUACUCCAGUACUUGAUUUGAUCUACAUGCGUGGCCUAAAUUGAUAAACACCUUGGUACUUGACCUGUUAAAGUUGAAGCUCACUCGGUCAUUGCCCAUCUUAUAUCUCCUCUUGUAAUGUACACUGUUAUAAUUGCUCUUAUGGUUGUUGCUAUCAUUACAAUUUUUUAAUUGUAGCAGUCAGUCUCCGUACCACUAACAUUAAGUAUUUCAUUGUUUUUGUGCCCUGGGAUUUUAUUGAAUGUUUAAAAUCUGUGCAGAUCCAAUUGUUGAAUACAAUAGCUACUGUGAAAGAUGAUGGAACUGUAGAAUUUGAAGUUCCUGGGGAUUUUGGACCCCACGACCUUGGUGGUGCGUCUCAAGAUGUAUACACUGAGGUUGCUCAUGAUGAGCCCCUCGAUGCAACAGAUCUUCAGUACAUUCCACCAUUGCAAAUAGUAAUGCUUAUUGUUGGCACACGUGGUGAUGUGCAACCUUUUGUUGCAAUUGGCAAACGUUUGCAGGUGAGAAGCAUAUCUUCACAUUCAAAAUUUUCCCUGUUUUUCUUCCUCGAGUUCAGUUUGCAGUAAUGUGUUCAUCAUCUAACAUUUGUAAUUCUAGAUGUGAGCUUAUGUAUUCUACUCAAUAUUUUCUAAUAACUUCAAUUGAUAAUGGCUCCUUGGAUUGGUUAUGUUUGGUAAAGUGUUAUAUAAACGCAAAAGAAAGUUCAAUCUUUUUGCCACUUUUACCUUCUUUUUCUUGUUAUGCUGUAUUUUUUAUUUUCUGAAUUGUAGAUAGUCAAAAUUUGUGCUCAUUUCUAGUCAAUGGAAAGAAGCAUGAAAAUUUUGAAAUUUGAAAUUUUUACUUUCAGCAGUUGAAGAAGUUAUUAUGUGGAUUCAAUAUUUACCAGAGAUGUGCAUGCAGGACUAUGGCCAUCGCGUUAGAUUAGCAACUCAUUCAAAUUUCAAGGAUUUUGUCCUGACUGCUGGGUUGGAGUUCUAUCCUUUAGGUGGUGAUCCGAAAGUUCUUGCAGGAUGUAUGUAUCUAAAUGUGUCAGUUACAUUUAUACUAGAGACACACACACACACGUAUAUGUAUGUAUAUGUGUUUGGUCCAAAAGCAUACAUGGCUUGCUCACAGUACUCAACACACAAUUGCUGCAAUUGAGUCUUUAAAUAUAUCUGGGGCUGUGAACCACUUCUGAUUAUCAUAAAAUCUAAUUAUUGUUUCUAUCAUGUUGAAAUUAAGGAAAAUUAUUCUAAUUUUUUCCUUGUAAAAUCAUAGGUUUCAAGAAGUUGGUUGAUUUGCCCACUCGAAAGAGUGUUUCUGUUUCCAGUUUGUCGCCUUGCAUUUCUUAUUAGGAUUCAUUCAUGUUCUCUUUCUUAUUUCAUUUAUGAAAAUUAUGCUCAAUGAUAAUGUAGCUCCCUUCACCAAAUUUGUUUUCCUUGGACAUUUACUGUCUUUGGUGGUUUUUACUUUCAGCAGAAAACUACAAAGAUAUAUUCUUGAGAUUUACUAAAUCAAUAUUUGAUUCAAAAUAUUUUGCACAACCUAUAUAAAUAAACUUGCAGAAGCUUUUACUGGCAACUUAUAAUUAAUGGCUUUACUUUUUACUGAACAGAUAUGGUCAAAAAUAAAGGCUUCUUGCCAUCAGGCCCUUCUGAGAUACCAGUUCAAAGAAAUCAAAUGAAGGAAAUUAUAUACUCUUUACUUCCAGCUUGCAGAGAUCCUGAUUUAGAUUCUGGAAUCGCUUUUAAGGCAGAUGCAAUCAUUGCUAAUCCCCAGCAUAUGGUAAGGUUUUAACCUUCAAGUCUGUUAUAAUGUUUCAAAUUGUGCUGUCUAUUUUUUAUAGUCAGAUUCUAUUUGCAUUCUUCCUUUUAUAUCAUGGUAGUUAUAUCCUUUUUCUUAUUUCAUUUUCUUUUAAAUAUGUGCAUUGGAAAUUGAUCAUGCUAGACCCCUGUCAUAUCUGUAGACUCUGUCUUGUCCUUGUGACCUUUUCAUAAAUCUCAUUACGUCUAUUCUUUUUCUUAUUAAUUUCUUUUUGGAAUAUGUUGUUUGGGAAAUUAUCACUGGUUGAUCUUUGUCAUUUUAUAUGCUUAGAUCUUUUUGUUAUGGAGAAUUGUUUAAGUUAAUUUGAUAUAUAUUUUGCAAUUGACUCUGGCAAAUGCUUCUCUAGGGCAUGUCCACGUGGCAGAGGCGCUGAAAAUCCCAAUUCAUAUAUUUUUCACUAUGCCAUGGACGUAAGUCUUGUCUGGGUAAUGGAAUCUAGCUGAUUUUAUUGUAGUUUAACAUCUUUGAAGUUUUCUUUUUUACAAAUUUUGCUUUCUUCUUGUUUUGUCUCAGUUAGUUGUUUUAUUGCAUGGUUUGAUGGAGAAUCUUAAAUUGCUUUCGUCAAUCUUUUUCCUCCAGGCCAACCAGUGAGUUUCCACAUCCUUUAUCCCGUGUCAAGCAACCAGCUGGAUAUCGGGUGAGACCAUUAAAUUCUGUCCUUUACCACAUGAUUUGACUCCUCCAUUCUUAUGAUGCUUUUGUGGUUGAUUGUUGGCCCUUCCUCUUUUGCAGCUGUCAUAUCAAAUUGUUGACUCCUUGAUUUGGCUGGGAAUACGGGACAUGAUAAAUGAUGUUAGGAAAAAGAAGCUGAUGCUACAACCUGUGACAUAUUUAAGUGGUUCCCAGGGUUUUGAUUCAGAUGUGCCUCAUGGGUAUAUAUGGAGUCCGCACCUUGUUCCUAAACCAAAAGGUUGUCACUUUGGACAUGAUACUGUUGAAAGAUAUCAUACCUCAUCUGAUCGUCAUUUUGUCUAUCAAUAAAAUGUUCCCUUUUCUCUAUCACUAUGUACAUUCUUGACCAACAAAGAGCCCAAGAAAACCUCUGAAGAUUUUUAUGAGAUUAUGUUAUCGGCCAUUUUUGCCAUAACUUCAGAAUCUUAGAUUGUCUGCGUUGUUUGAUCUGGGUACCAUUGCUACAUUAUGGAAGUAGCAUGGAGCCCUGUUUCAUUACUGUUGUCAAUAUUUUUCGUUCUUAAUUGCAAUACUUUUUUAUGAGCUGAUUUGGCUAGCUGCUUUUUUAGUGGCUAAAGCUGUUCUGGGUCUUUUGUAUCUGCUUUGCUUAAUUUGGUGAUACUUAUUCAAUGCUUUGUUGGGUAGAGUUUAGUGUACUUUUUGCAUAAAUGUCAUAUAUCAUCAAUACCUGUACAUUUUUGUCUUCAUCACACAUUUGAAUAAGUACAAUGCAGAACAAAUUAUUUGAGGGAUGCUUAUUUCUGGUUUACUUUUUUAUUGCAUGAUUUGCAGAUUGGGGACCUAAGGUUGAUGUGGUUGGAUUUUGCUUUCUUGAUCUUGCAUCAAACUAUGAACCUCCAGAAUCACUUGUAAAAUGGCUUGAAGCUGGUUCAAAGCCUAUUUACAUUGGAUUUGGUAGCCUUGUGAGUUUGUUUUGUUGGACCUCAAAUUAUUUCUCUGUUAUUGUGGAUUAUGAACUUUACAAACUAUUGAGGCCUUCUUUAGUGUGGUAUUUUGAGCUGUGAAACUCUGAGGCUUGGCCUCUUUGAUCCUUGAAGCCCUUAAUUAUUGAUGAAUAUAAAUCCAAUUUACAAAAAGACCAAUCACAACUAGGACUGUUGACUCCUUCAAGUAUUGAACUUUAUUAGAAAGGUCAAUAUUCUUUUGUUUAUAUUAUGAGUUACCAAUGCUCAUAACUUGUAGUAACCUUUUCUUGGUAUGUGGAUAUAUAAAAUCCUAUGAAAUGUAGUGUGAGGAUAUAAAAUAACUAUAGGAAAGGAUGCUUUAUCUGUGAAUAAAAUGGGUAGGAGGAAGUGAGCGAAGUUUAAUUCAAAUUACCAGCUUGAUGUGAUUUAUCAAGUCCGUACUAGUAAAGUCUGUUUCCUCUUUCCUUCAUCACAAUAUGUUCAUUUUAACAAUCAUUUUCAUGAUACGGUCUAAUUAUAUUUGACCAUGUGACUUAUUUGAGAAAAACUGGUAAAAGGUUUUCAAUUUUCUUUUAAAAUUUAAGGUAAAGAUGAAUAAGUUGCUAAUAUUUUUCAAUUCUGUGUUUUUUAGUAAACAACGUCACUGUAGUGUUUUCUGGAAGUGGACUCAUUCAAUCUUCUAGUAGAUGUAGCAUUCCCUAAUCAAGUAUUGACUAUGCAUGAGUGCGUUUUAGAUCCCCCGAAACAAGAGUAAAUACUGGCAUGAUAUAGGAUCUUUGAUUCUUCAUUAUAUUAGCUCUCAACUUCUUUAUUUUUAUUUGUCCCUGCUCUUUCUCUUGUUACUCAGCCUGUUCAAGAGCCAGAAAAAACGACCCAGAUAAUCGUGGAAGCAUUUGAACAAACUGGACAGAGGGGUAUUAUAAACAAAGGCUGGGGUGGCCUUGGUAACCGUAAGUUUUUACUGAUGAAGCGCUUCAUCUGUUACCUAUAACCCUCUGUUAUCUCUUCUUAUUCUUCUACUUGUUUCCCUACCACAUUGUGUAGCCAUAUGAACGAGACUUCAAAUGCACUUAGUUGUAUCUUAUUUCCUUUUCAGUGGCUGAACCAAAGGACUCAAUAUACCUAUUGGACAACAUUCCCCAUGACUGGUUGUUCUUACAAUGCAAGGCUGUGGUAAGUCUGCAGCUCUUGAGCAGGUUCAACAUUAUGUUCAUUCAUCGUCAUGUGUACUUUGAUUGUUUAUUGUCUUCAUUGUGGAAUGCGUUUAGUUAGUUAUGGUAAUUAUAGGCCCGGCCAUGCUUCCAGUCGGUCCUGCCUUCUCCUGGGAUGAUGGAUGUUAUCAUAAAAUAUUGUUGAGUUACCCUCAUGCCCUAUUGUUGCUUGAUCUCAAUGUGGGGACCAGUAUUAUCUACACUAAUUUAUGUCGUAUAAUCAUCAUGCGUACUCAGUAAAAUUAGAAUGUUAGAUAUAUGUACAGAAAAAGGUAUGAUUGAAUUAAACCAAGGGGAUGAUUUCUUCUUCUUGCGUUGACACUGGUGUAGAUUAACAUUGGAGUGGAAAUAAGCAGAGAGACGAGGUGUUUUCUUAAAAAUUUUUGGACGGAUUUUAUAUGAAUCUAGUAAUAAAGCAUGAUAUAUUUAUAUUCGUUAUGGCAAGAUCAUUGCUGGGUAAAUGCAUGUGGAAGUAUUCGACGAGAAUCGAGAAAUCCUUUCAACUCUCUUUGAAAUUUCUUUUGAUGUUACACUGUUUCAUUUUUUUUUUUUUUUUUGUCUUUUGUGCUUGUGAUGGCAAGAUCUUAUUGGUCUUCCUUUGUUUUCAGGUUCAUCACGGUGGUGCGGGUACAACUGCAGCCGGUCUUAGAGCUGCGGUAAUAUUGAUGGCUAUCUUUUAACAUAGAUUAAGUACUUACACUUCUGCAUGACGUGAUUCGUGCCUUAUGUUGACAAAUUUGUUGAAAUAUAGUGCCCAACAACCAUUGUACCUUUCUUCGGUGACCAGCCUUUCUGGGGAGAGCGAGUACAUGCCAGAGGAGUAGGUCCUCCGCCCAUUCCGGUUGAUGAAUUCUCACUUCCCAAGUUGAUUAAUGCAAUAAAUUUCAUGCUAGAUCCAAAGGUAGUAGAAAUUUUUUUGCAUUCCCCAAUUAAUUAUUUAACUUUAUAUUUGCUUAGGCCUAGUCGUACUGAGCUUCAUCUUAAAGAAAGGACAGAGUUCUUUUUUGCUUUUCUAAUCAAAAUGCAUCCUGCAAAGCAUGCCAAAAGUCUGAACAGUAGCUCUGCUUUUGAACUAUUUGUGCGAUGACUGAUACACCUGCCCAGAAAUAAGAUAGUCUUAUCACGGCAGUACAGGAUGUAUUAGGUGGAAUAAUUUAAGAGUUCAGUCUUACCUGAUAAGAUGAAAGAAAAAGCAGUAACACAAUCAAAUGAAUUUGAAUUUCCAUAUUUGGGUAGAGCAUUAGGAUACUUUUGAUGGGGAUUUAAUUCAUAGAAGAAAGUGCAAGUGCAAGAAAUGUUUUUAACCAUAUUGGAUUAUGAUUCUGACGCAUAGGAAACAUGACAGGUGAAGGAGCGUGCAGUUGAACUUGCCGAGGCCAUGGAGAAGGAAGACGGGGUAACUGGAGCAGUGAAAGCGUUUUUUAAACAUUAUCCUCGCUCAAAGACUCAGCCUAAGCCGGAGAGGGUAGAAAUCUAAGGCUCUAUUUGAUAUUACUGUUUGUGUGCAAUGACGUUGGGUGGUGGGUGGUCGAGAUUGUGCAUGAGCUGCUGCCUCUCUUUCUUGUAAUAGUAUUCAUGUUAAUAACAUAUUAGAUGUGUGUGUGUUUUAGAUGUUCUGUUUUCUUUUAAUUUAAUGGUUAAAAAUCGAGCAAGGGCUCGAAUUCUUAUCCCGAUGUAAUUGGCUCCUAAUCCUUGAGCCUUAAUCCCACCUUUGACCCUUAAAAAAUUUUACAAAAAGUUUAUCACAGCUUGCAAGUGGGUUUGAUACUUAUUAAAACUUGUAGUGACGGAUUUUUUUUUUUAAAUAUAUAUAAUCCACAAGAAAUUGCAUACGGAUUUAAUAAUUUAAAUUUUUUACGAAUUUGAAUAUGAAUUUAAUAAUGUUUAGGGAUGGCAAUGGGGAGGGGAGGGGAGGGGACCAAUCACCCUGUACCCAUCCCUGAUAUUUUGCGUAUGUCCAUGUCCCUUCUCUAUCUCUGUCAAAAUUAUUUAAGAGAAUCCUCAUUCCCUCCCCGAAUAAUAAUAGGGGAUCCCCGAAGGUCCCCGAUCCCCGAAUAACUAAUAUAUAUUUUUUGUUUUCGAUUUUGAGUUAAUCAUAUUAAAAUAAAAAAUUCAAAUAAAAGUAAAGUUCGAAAUAUAUCUUACAUUAAUAUCCAUUACAAAAGUCACAUACAUUAAAUUAGUAAGUAACACAGCAUGCAAGGGAUACAAACUAUCAUGAACAAAUUAAUAGCCUAAUACAAAAUUGUUACAAAUAAAAUUAAAUUUAGAUUCAAAAUUAACUUUUCAAUGGUGGCGUGGGCACUUUAUAAAUGUAGACUAUUCUUUUUACAACACAAUAGUUAAGUCGAAGCAAAUCAAGAGCAAAAAUUAGAUUAUAUUAGAUAUUAAAAUUGUGAUUUGCUGUGGGCAAUUAUAACAUCUAAAAAUAAAUAAAUAAAAAAUAGAUUUAAGUUAAAAAUAUUUAAUGAAUAUUAAAAUUAAAACAAAAGUUUUGGGCUAAUAGAAUCUGUCCGAUCUUUUUAAUGUCCUAAAUAAAAAUUUAGGACUUUAAUUAGUUAAUUAGGCCUAAAAGUUUAAUAAUAUAAAUAUUUUGAUAUUUUUUAUUUUUACCAAUACUUAUAAUUUUAUAAUUCAAAUUUUAUUAUUUAUUUACUAGUAAUUUUAAAAAUUAAAAAUUAAAAUGAGGAAAUGGGUAGGGGAUGGGGAUUCCACCUCAUCUCCGUCCCCUCCCUGAAUAAGAAAUUAGGUAUAAAAUUAUCUCCAUAUCCUCCCCAAAUAAAAAAAAUUUCCAAAAAUACCCGUCCCUGUAGAAAUUUUUACCAUCCCUAAUAAUGUUAAACCCCGAUCGCGUGGUACUCAUUGCAUCGCUACUGAUGACUGCUGGUGUUCGAAUGAAAAAUCAUUUAUGAGCAGAAGAAGAUCUUGUGGGUCCUGGAAAGCAAAUAAUCUAAGGCUCUAUUUGAUAUUACUGUUUAGCCGUUCCAAGUUAUUUACUAAACAAUUACAAUUACAAUUUUAAUUUAAAAAUAAAAAAUGGUUUUAUUCACAGUUGUUCAAUGAAAACUUUACAUUAUUAUUUUUUCAAUUAACUUUAAAAAUUAUAUUUAUUAAAUACUAAUAACUUUAUCUUAUAACUAUAACUUUUAUGUCACAUGACUUGUGGCCAAAGUCUCACUGUAUAGGAACACAUUAUCCUUUUUUCUUUCUCAUGAACAAGUUUAUUGCGUUACCAUCAUUAUCGUACAGCUAUAAUGAUUAAGUGUUAUUGUUCAAUUAUUGAUGGACCACACAAUCAGAUUUUUACAAGAAUUUUUGUAUUUAAAUAAAUGAAUCGAAUUGGAAUGAAAUCAAAAUUGAAUGGAUUUGAAUACCAUUCAUUUAUUAUAUGAAUAUCUAUUUAAUUUCUUUAUUGUAUAAAAUUAAACAAAUCGAUUGAAUUUAGAUUCGUUUAUAUUUUUUUAUAUAAAAUUAAUAACAAAUCAAUUGAAUAUGGGUUCAUUUACAAAAACAAUAAUUAAUAAAUAAAAAUCAAGCAAAAUAGAAUAGAACUGCAAAAUUAAAAUCCUACCAAAAACAAACGAAUCACAAAUGGAUAAAUAAAUAAGUGACCUCAAAAUAACAAUUCGAUUCCACCAAUUUAAUAAACAAAUUAAUCUUUUCAAACCGAGACCCGUUUAAUUUAAAUCAAAUUGCAUUAAAUAAAUAUAUCACAACUUAAAUUGCCACCCCUACUCAUAAAUGAAGCAGUUAUGUGUCGACUAACUGUUUUUUCUUUAUUUUUAAAGAUUAGUCAACUGAAGUAAAUUAGGCCGACUUGUGGACUACUGCCCUCACAUUAGAGUCUUAAUGGACUCAGUUUUUCCCCUCAAUUAAGAAUAAUAGAGUGGAGGUCAUUGCAAUCUUUCUUAAAAGAUUGAGAGGGUAGAAAUCUAUCUAAUUAUCUAAUUGUAAUGCCAUCAAAUGCUUCAUAAGGAUGUAAUAUAAUAAGAAUUUAAUGCAAAACUAAUAAUACCAGUAGUUGUCUAAUUAUAAUAUCAGUAGUUUUCUAUAAUAAUAUCAAAUGUCCUAUCAAGUCAUCUAACUGUAUCAUUCGUAUUAAACUAAAACAAAAAAAAAAAAAAACUGAAGCAAAUUGAAAGAAAGGUGAAUAGUGUUGCUUUGGUUUCUGAAUAUAUUAUUGGUAAUUUUUUAUUUAUUAGUUGGGUUAUUUUUAGAGACCUCCCCUGAGGUUUAGUGUAUUAACAACUAGAUAAAAUAUAUUGAUAUAAUUACAGAAACUUCCCCUGCUGUUAGUAUAAAAAUAUAUAUGGCAUCAGUAUAGAAGGGUAAAUGUGUAAAAUUAUAUUUAAAAUUCAAAAUAUAUUUUUACUAGAUCAAUGAUAUUUUGACUGACUUGCCCGCUGUUGAUCGAACUUAACCAGUUGGCCAUGACUCCACCGGCAGCUAAUAGUGGUGCUUUGCCACUGCCGGAGUCCCCUCUUCACCCUGGUUACCAACCCCAGUCACGGAAGCCUCUGAAUCAGCCAUAGCCACCAUCACGCAUUAACCCAAAAAGAUGGCUUUUGUCUCACAACAGCCCCCACACCGGCAGCACCCCUUUGGUCAUUGCUGAUGUCACCCAACUGCUAUCACCCUUGAGCCAUCCCAAAACUUAACCACACACAGCUCUCAAAACCAUAGCUCACGGCUGGUCACACCGCAUACCACUACCGUAAUUUCUACCAUAAGUGAUGGUUCCAUUUCGUCGUCGUCUAUCCCCUCAACCAACCCCCAUGAAGUCCUGGCCUCAAUAAACAUCUCAACAGCCACAAAACCCACAUUCAAACUCAUGAGAUCUCGCUGCCGCCAUCUUGUCAAAGUCCGUUGAUGGUGCUUCACUGCAAACGGAACCUCUUUAAGCCCAACACACCACCAAUAGGCAUUUUGUUGAACUGGGUUUUCAAACAAUUUGUUGAUUCUAACGCAGUUAAUUGCUUUGUUGAACUAGGUUUUCAAACAAUUUGUUAAGAGUCCAAAUCUGGCUACGGCUGCAAGACCGUGAAAUCUCCUGAAAGCAAGAACAAUUGACUGGCUUUGCAUCUCUUUGUCUUUUAGAUAGGCACCAGCUUUCGGAUCCUUUGCAGCCAACUGAUCAAUUAUUAAAAAUAGUCAGAGACAUAAGAAGGGAAGCCGUAAACAUUUGGAGGACACGGGUUGGUUUCGAAAGCAUAGAGCUGGGCAACGGAGAAAGAAAGGAAGGGAACAAGGUAGAAAGAAGACAAGAUGGCGUUGAAAGUGUAUAAGCCAAGCCAAAGGACGGCGACAAGGAAGAUGGCAGGCAGCAAAAACAGUGGUUGAAGACCCUGUUAAUCGGUGGAAGCAGCAGCCGGCCAAACCUAUUACCCAUAAAUUCUCAAAGCUACAUUUAAUAAUUUAUUAUUUUGUUGAGAAGGGUAUUUUAGUAAUUUUGAGAGUCUACUAACAGUCAACUUAAUGACUAAUUAACGGCAAGAGAGGUUUCUAUAAUUAUAACAAUAUAUUCUAUCUAAAUGUUAAUAAAUUAAACCUCAGGGGAGAUCCUUAAAAAUAAUCCUUUAUUGAUUAUACUCGUUUUAAUGCUUUUGUCUGAUGAUCACAUGCUUACAUCUGUGAAAGAGAGAGAACGAUCGACUGGGACUGAAUGAUGGAGGACAAAAUUGUUGCAAAAGAAGAUGACACGGAGGAAAAAAACAACGAAAUUCUAUAGCCGUAGGGUGUAGCCCGCACAAUCAGAGAAUAUUUCAUUUUUCACAUCAGAUUUCAUUUAUUUGACCAAAAUGCCCUUACUCGGACAGUUUGCACACGUGUCAAUAAAGAUCGAAAACUAAAUAAAUGAAAAAACCGCAAGAAUCCAUAGGACCCGUCACCCACUGCGUCGGGCGUGCCUUCUCUCUCGAGUCUUCAGAAUCCGCGAAAGCAAAAAUCUCCCUUGUUUUACGCCACUAGUGAGAAUCCAUAACACACACACACACACACACACACACAUAACGGCUCGAUUUUGAAAUUUAAAAAUUAAAAUGAACUAAAAACAACGCCCUCUGAAAUCUAUAACGUAAGUUGGAUCUGGAUCAGAAGCAUUGAGGCAAUCUUGAUCGACGGUUCUUGCCGCAAUCGGAGUCAUCGCCGAUGGCGGAGCCACCUGUGAAGUCGCGGAGCUCUUCUUCCUCGAGCUCCAGUGAAGUUUCUAUUAAGCUUGAGCGCGAAAUUGGCGGUGGAAGUAGCAGUGAAGGUAAAGAAGUGUACAACAGAGAGACGAGUACCAGUGUGAGUGCCGUAAAAAAUGGAAAUGCUGAGUCCUCCGGUUAGUUGAUUUUUUUUUUCCUUUUUUUUCUGCAUACUUACUGAAAUUAUUAUUCGCAAGCAAAUCCUGAACUUCCAAGGAUAAGAUUGAGCCUAUAAGGGGAGCGUAUUGAGAGUUUCUUACGUAUUUUAUAUGUAGGUUUUCAUAUUAUUAUGUUCUUAUUGUUUGUUUU
This 13065-nucleotide long non-coding RNA is filed under the name Citrus maxima (pomelo). RNAcentral describes it as "long non-coding RNA (CMAX_LNC002544)". The record is from RNAcentral. Lineage: Eukaryota; Viridiplantae; Streptophyta; Magnoliopsida; Sapindales; Rutaceae.